RNAcentral lists this ribosomal RNA (497 nucleotides) under uncultured bacterium. RNAcentral describes it as "partial 16S ribosomal RNA". It matches the Rfam family "Bacterial small subunit ribosomal RNA", at positions 28 to 507 of the family's 1533-position model. The record is from RNAcentral.
GAUGAACGCUGGCGGCGUGCCUAAUACAUGCAAGUCGAGCGAACAGAUGAGGAGCUUGCUCCUCUGACGUUAGCGGCGGACGGGUGAGUAACACGUGGAUAACCUACCUAUAAGACUGGGAUAACUUCGGGAAACCGGAGCUAAUACCGGAUAAUAUAUUGAACCGCAUGGUUCAAUAGUGAAAGACGGUUUUGCUGUCACUUAUAGAUGGAUCCGCGCCGCAUUAGCUAGUUGGUAAGGUAACGGCUUACCAAGGCAACGAUGCGUAGCCGACCUGAGAGGGUGAUCGGCCACACUGGAACUGAGACACGGCCCAGACUCCUACGGGAGGCAGCAGUAGGGAAUCUUCCGCAAUGGGCGAAAGCCUGACGGAGCAACGCCGCGUGAGUGAUGAAGGUCUUCGGAUCGUAAAACUCUGUUAUUAGGGAAGAACAGAUGUGUAAGUAACUAUGCACGUCUUGACGGUACCUAAUCAGAAAGCCACGGCUAACUACGUG